This is a long non-coding RNA of Cheilinus undulatus (humphead wrasse), 530 nucleotides long. RefSeq lists it as uncharacterized. The record is from RefSeq and is a predicted model, not a curated record. The transcript is spliced from 4 exons. Lineage: Eukaryota; Metazoa; Chordata; Actinopteri; Labriformes; Labridae.
GAUGUCAGGUGCUUCCUCGAGCUCUGACGGUUGAUAGAGUUAAAAUAAAUAUGAUAAAUAAAUAUAACAACAAAAUUACAAUACAAUUAGAGCAUCUGUAUCAAAGAAAACAAAACCUGUGUGGAAAGUGUGCUGCAUAAUAUUUGACUGCUAUCAAACCAGACAACACAAACUGAAUGGGAUGAAUAUGAUGUGGGUGACCCCCCUGAGUCGAGAAGGUAAAGAUGGAGCCAGGUGCCGCGGUGGAGUCCCAGCUGAGACCUUCUGACCCGCGACUCUCCUCUCAAUCCACUCCUGUCCGGUGAAUCAGCUUUCAGGACUCUCCCCGGACUUUCCACCCAGGCCAGAACAAUGGCGGGCCCAGGAGCCCAACUUCCCCACAGGCCCCGACGAGAGGAGGCCGGGGGCUGGGUACUGAGGGAGCCGCUCAGCACGCUGAAAUAUGGACGCGACAGAUAAGGUGGCAGAGGCACAGAGAGGCCCUCUCCCAGGGGCCCAAGGGGAAAUUUGCAGUUAUUAAGAGGAAGAUG